CACAUGCAAGUCGAACGGUAACAGGAAGCAGCUUGCUGUUUCGCUGACGAGUGGCGGACGGGUGAGUAAUGUCUGGGAAACUGCCUGAUGGAGGGGGAUAACUACUGGAAACGGUAGCUAAUACCGCAUAACGUCGCAAGACCAAAGAGGGGGACCUUCGGGCCUCUUGCCAUCGGAUGUGCCCAGAUGGGAUUAGCUAGUAGGUGGGGUAACGGCUCACCUAGGCGACGAUCCCUAGCUGGUCUGAGAGGAUGACCAGCCACACUGGAACUGAGACACGGUCCAGACUCCUACGGGAGGCAGCAGUGGGGAAUAUUGCACAAUGGGCGCAAGCCUGAUGCAGCCAUGCCGCGUGUAUGAAGAAGGCCUUCGGGUUGUAAAGUACUUUCAGCGGGGAGGAA
Molecule: ribosomal RNA, 401 nt
Filed under: Escherichia coli
Lineage: Bacteria; Pseudomonadati; Pseudomonadota; Gammaproteobacteria; Enterobacterales; Enterobacteriaceae
Also listed under: 2 other names
Description: partial 16S ribosomal RNA
Rfam family: Bacterial small subunit ribosomal RNA
Source: RNAcentral